GACGAACGCUGGCGGCGUGCUUAACACAUGCAAGUCGAACGGAAAGGCCCUUCGGGGUACUCGAGUGGCGAACGGGUGAGUAACACGUGGGUGAUCUGCCCUGCACUUUGGGAUAAGCCUGGGAAACUGGGUCUAAUACCGAAUAGGACCACGCGCUUCAUGGUGUGUGGUGGAAAGCUUUUGCGGUGUGGGAUGGGCCCGCGGCCUAUCAGCUUGUUGGUGGUGUAAUGGCCUACCAAGGCGACGACGGGUAGCCGGCCUGAGAGGGUGACCGGCCACACUGGGACUGAGAUACGGCCCAGACUCCUACGGGAGGCAGCAGUGGGGAAUAUUGCACAAUGGGCGCAAGCCUGAUGCAGCGACGCCGCGUGAGGGAUGACGGCCUUCGGGUUGUAAACCUCUUUCAAUAGGGACGAAGCGCAAGUGACGGUACCUAUAGAAGAAGCACCGGCCAACUACGUG
This 462-nucleotide ribosomal RNA is filed under the name uncultured bacterium. RNAcentral describes it as "partial 16S ribosomal RNA". It matches the Rfam family "Bacterial small subunit ribosomal RNA", at positions 28 to 507 of the family's 1533-position model. The record is from RNAcentral.